Apis florea (little honeybee) is the source of this 307-nucleotide long non-coding RNA. Lineage: Eukaryota; Metazoa; Arthropoda; Insecta; Hymenoptera; Apidae. The record is from RefSeq and is a predicted model, not a curated record.
CAUGCGCGCGUGGAAAUUCUUCGGCGGUUAUAAUACGAUACGAAAAUAUUCCCGGUAAUUUACGACACGGGCCGAACGACACCGCGUAUCAUCCGGAUUUAUGAUGCUCGUUAAAAUUGCCCAUAAAAGCCGACGAGCUAGCGCGGAUUGCUUUUUCGGAUUAAACGCUGCACCUCUCCCGUACACAACACCGAACGAUGCACCGUCCGCCUUUCUAUUCUCCCCGGAAUACGUACGUAAUAAUGCGGGCCAAGAGAUGCAUCCCGCGCAACGAGCAACAUUUUCCCUCCCCACCACAAUCUCCAUA